UAGAAAUAUCUUUUUGUUUAGUAUUCUUAUAGAAAUAUUUAUUUUAGUAAUAGCUUAUUAGUACUGUGAAGGAAUUAUUGAAAUAUUUUGAAAAUUUAUUUUGUAAAAAGUAUAUUUUAUUUAUAGUACCUUUUGUAUCAGGGUUGAUUUAAUUUUUUUAAAUUAUUUUAAUUUCUCGAUUUUAUAAGAGCUAAUAAAUUAUUAAGUUUAUUGUGAUAUAACUAUCUUCAAUAUUUUUUAGUGGAGAAAUUCUAUUCGUUUAUAAUGGUAUCUAGUUUUUUAAGAAAUAAAUUUAAUUUAUUUCCAAAAUUUACUUUUUUCUUUUUGAUAAUUUAUUUUUUGGGACAAAAUUGAUAGGGGAUAAGCUCUAUCUUUUACUAUAAUUUUUCUAAAACUGUAAAUUUAGUAGGACUAAAAUCAACCAUCUUUAAAAAUACGUUAUAGUAUAAUUUAUUUUGAUUUAAUUUUUUUCUUUUUUAGUUAUUUAUUAAAAUUACUUAUUUAAUUUUAUUUUAUUUUAAAUAAUGAUUAUAUUAGUAUAAUUUUGUUGUUUUGGGUUUAAAUAAACUUGAAAUUGUAAUUAAGGAACUCGGCAAAUUAAAUUUCCGCCUGUUUAUCAAAAACAUGUCCUAUUGUAUUCUUUAAUAGGUCUGGCCUGCCCAGUGAUAAUUUUAACGGCCGCGGUAUAUUGACCGUGCAAAGGUUGCAUAAUUUAUCAAAAACAUGUCCUAUUGUAUUCUUUAAUAGGUCUGGCCUGCCCAGUGAUAAUUUUAACGGCCGCGGUAUAUUGACCGUGCAAAGGUAGCAUAAUCAUUAGUCUUUUAAUAGAAGGCUGGAAUGAAAGGUUUAACGAGAAAUUAACUGUCUCAAUUACAUACUUGAAUUUAUCUUUUGAGUCAAAAGACUUAAAUAUAAUUGGUGGACGAGAAGACCCUAUAGAGCUUUACAAUUUUAUUUCUAUAUUUAUAUAGUAAUAUUAUUUAUUUAUAUUUAUAAAAUUGUUUUGUUGGGGUGACAAUAAAUAUAUAUUUAACUUUUAUCAUAAUAUAAACAUUAAUUUAUGAUUUUUGGAUCCAAAAAUUUUGAUCAAUAGAUUAAGUUACCUUAGGGAUAACAGCGUAAUCUUCCCUCAGAGUUCAUAUUUACGGGAAGGGUUGCGACCUCGAUGUUGGAUUAAGAUAAUAAUUAGGUGCAGUAGCUUAAUUAAUAGGUCUGUUCGACCUUUAAAUUCUUACAUGAUCUGAGUUCAGACCGGUUUAAGCCAGGUCGGUUUCUAUCCCCAAUUUAAUAUCAGUUAUUAGUACGAAAGGACCAUAAUUGAGAAAUAUUUUUUAUGUUUUUGAAAUUUAUUACUAUUUUGGCAGAAAAGUGCUAUGAAUUUAGAAUUCAUC
This 1391-nucleotide ribosomal RNA is filed under the name Ischnura asiatica. Its description in RNAcentral is "16S ribosomal RNA". The stretch from base 915 to 1284 matches the Rfam family "Bacterial large subunit ribosomal RNA", at positions 2072 to 2648 of the family's 2925-position model. The record is from RNAcentral. Lineage: Eukaryota; Metazoa; Arthropoda; Insecta; Odonata; Coenagrionidae.